Molecule: ribosomal RNA, 470 nt
Filed under: uncultured organism
Description: partial 16S ribosomal RNA
Rfam family: Bacterial small subunit ribosomal RNA
Source: RNAcentral
ACUCCUGCGGGAGGCAGCAGUGGGGAAUUUUGGACAAUGGGCGAAAGCCUGAUCCAGCCAUGCCGCGUGCAGGAUGAAGGCCUUCGGGUUGUAAACUGCUUUUGUACGGAACGAAACGGCCUUUUCUAAUAAAGAGGGCUAAUGACGGUACCGUAAGAAUAAGCACCGGCUAACUACGUGCCAGCAGCCGCGGUAAUACGUAGGGUGCAAGCGUUAAUCGGAAUUACUGGGCGUAAAGCGUGCGCAGGCGGUUAUGUAAGACAGUUGUGAAAUCCCCGGGCUCAACCUGGGAACUGCAUCUGUGACUGCAUAGCUAGAGUACGGUAGAGGGGGAUGGAAUUCCGCGUGUAGCAGUGAAAUGCGUAGAUAUGCGGAGGAACACCGAUGGCGAAGGCAAUCCCCUGGACCUGUACUGACGCUCAUGCACGAAAGCGUGGGGAGCAAACAGGAUUAGAUACCCUAGUAGUCCC